This is a non-coding RNA of Triticum urartu, 1141 nucleotides long. NCBI's taxonomy places the organism in Eukaryota, Viridiplantae, Streptophyta, Magnoliopsida, Poales, Poaceae. The record is from RefSeq and is a predicted model, not a curated record.
AACUGAAAAUAAAAAUUGAAGCAUGAAAUAAGCAAUAAGUGGCUGAUUUUUAUUUGCAUGUUAAGCAGAAAGUUGUAGCUGAGGCUUGUAUAUUACGAAAUAUUGUCACACAUCUGAGCUUCUACUGUUGUUAGGGACAUCGUAGUGUGAUCUUCAUGAUUUUUCGCUUGAAGAUGUACUGAUUCAUUAGUCAAGCAGAGACCGAAGUCAUCUUUUGCUACCGUUAGCUCUAUGGAUGUGUAUUUACCUGCAACUUCUGCCAGCUCUAACUUGGUUAUAUACCAGUUCAAUUCAGUCAAUCUGUUGGAACUAGUUUGUCUAUUACUUGUAUCCGAUUUCAUAUCCUGCCAUAUGCCAUUGUCGACUUUCUUAGGUACAUAAUUGUUAUGUCUUGCAAUCUGGUAUUGAUGAUUGUCAAUGUAUUCAUUUAUACCUUUCUAGUGUACCUUGUAUGUGACACAGCUGAUCUGUAUAUCAAUGCUCUAUUUCCAAUAGAUGUAUGCUGAUGCCUGAUGGCUGAUUCCUUAAAACUUCACUGUUGCAGCAGUAGCAUUUUUCCUUAGUGCAUAGAUGUAUGAGCGAUCACUUAUGCUUGAAACCUUGCUCUCUUUCCCAGGAACCAUCGUGGUCUGCAUCACUACUGGGGCAGGAGAGGAAAGACUGUUGGUGUCUCCAAGAAGCGAUAAACUGCUUCACAAAGAUCCCCGCAUAGCUUCACUACUACUGUGUUGGUCCAUUUCCAGAAUCUUAAGCAGUGUUCUUGUUUAGACGAUUACCUUGGAUGAUGCUUUUGCUUAAGGAGAGGCUCAAGAAGAUCAAGGAGCUCCGCAUCCGAGUUUCAGCCAUCCUCUACAGCAAGGAGCUCUGGGCCAAAGGAGCAAGCAGCGCUGCUAGUUCCUUGAGGCCAGAUCGAGUAAGAUGGUGCACCAUGGCGUGUGGUGGUGUAUUUUGCUUCCGAGAACAGUACUGUUUAUUUGAAGUGAGAUGUACUCGUCUAGUGCCUGGCAAAAAAUUGAAGGAUGAAGUGUCAUGUACUGUCUAUGUUGUAGUGAGCUGUAGUAGGAGUGAAACGAAAAUUUAUCUGCUGUUGUAUGUGCUAUUUCCCUGUAAUGUCUUGUGUACAUUUUACUUGAACAUUAAA